AUUGAACGCUGGCGGCAGGCCUAACACAUGCAAGUCGAGCGGAUGAAGGGAGCUUGCUCCUGGAUUCAGCGGCGGACGGGCGAGUAAUGCCUAGGAAUCUGCCUGGUAGUGGGGGAUAACGUCCGGAAACGGGCGCUAAUCCAGUAUACGUCAUGAGGGAGAAAGUGGGGGUUCUUCGGACCUCACGCUAUCAGCUGAGACUAGGUCGGAUUAGCUAGUUGGUGGGGUAAAGGCCUACCAAGGCGACGAUCCGUAACUGGUCUGAGAGGAUGAUCAGUCACACUGGAACUGAGACACGGUCCAGACUCCUACGGGAGGCAGCAGUGGGGAAUAUUGGACAAUGGGCGAAAGCCUGAUCCAGCCAUGCCGCGUGUGUGAAGAAGGUCUUCGGAUUGUAAAGCACUGUAAGUUGGGAGGAAGGGCAGUAAGUUAAUACCUGGCUGUUUUGACGGUACCAACAGAAUAAGCACCGGCUAACUACGUG
Molecule: ribosomal RNA, 484 nt
Filed under: uncultured bacterium
Lineage: Bacteria
Description: partial 16S ribosomal RNA
Rfam family: Bacterial small subunit ribosomal RNA
Source: RNAcentral